Molecule: ribosomal RNA, 244 nt
Filed under: uncultured bacterium
Lineage: Bacteria
Description: partial 16S ribosomal RNA
Rfam family: Bacterial small subunit ribosomal RNA
Source: RNAcentral
UACUUAGGAAAUGGAAAGCGGCGGACGAGCGAGUAACACGUAAGUAACUGCCCCGUACUCGGGGAUAACUGCCCGAAAGGGUAGCUAAUACCGGAUGGUCCCGCAAGGGUAAAGAUUUAUCGGUACGGGAGGUGCUUGCGGCUUAUCAGUUAGUUGGUGGGGUAAAGGCCUACCAAGACUAUGACGAGUAGCUGGUGUGAGAGCAUGACCAGCCGCGAUGGGACUGAGACACGGCCCAUACUCC